Molecule: ribosomal RNA, 250 nt
Filed under: uncultured bacterium
Lineage: Bacteria
Description: partial 16S ribosomal RNA
Rfam family: Bacterial small subunit ribosomal RNA
Source: RNAcentral
UACGGGGGGGGCAAGCGUUGUUCGGAAUUACUGGGCGUAAAGGGCUCGUAGGCGGCCAACUAAGUCAGACGUGAAAUCCCCAGGCUCAACCUGGGAACUGCGUCUGAUACUGGAUGGCUUGAAUCCGGGAGAGGGAUGCAGAAUUCCAGGUGUAGCGGUGAAAUGCGUAGAUAUCUGGAGGAAUACCGGUGGCGAAGGCGGCAUCCUGGACCGGCAUUGACGCUGAGGAGCGAAAGCCAGGGGAGCAAAC